GAAAGAAAACUGGAAUAUUAUUGAUUGGUUAGCAAGAAUGAUGAGUUCUUGUCAGUUUUAAACACAUUUUCAUCAAUAAAAGCAAGAAAAGAUUCUAAGAAAAACAAUGAAAGAGGAAGAGAAGAUAGCAGGGAGGCAGAGAAGAUUGUGAAAGGGGCAAAACAGGCAUCAGAUAGGAUGACUUUCAUGGGAUUGAAGAUGAACUCA
RNAcentral lists this unclassified non-coding RNA (207 nucleotides) under Hevea brasiliensis (rubber tree). The record is from RNAcentral. Lineage: Eukaryota; Viridiplantae; Streptophyta; Magnoliopsida; Malpighiales; Euphorbiaceae.